RNAcentral lists this ribosomal RNA (289 nucleotides) under uncultured bacterium. Its description in RNAcentral is "partial 16S ribosomal RNA". It matches the Rfam family "Bacterial small subunit ribosomal RNA", at positions 337 to 622 of the family's 1533-position model. The record is from RNAcentral.
CCCUACGGGGGGCAGCAGUGAGGAAUAUUGGUCAAUGGGCGAGAGCCUGAACCAGCCAAGUCGCGUGAGGGAAGACGGUCCUAUGGAUUGUAAACCUCUUUUGCCGGGGAGCAAAAAGCGGUACGUGUACCGCAUCGAGAGUACCCGGAGAAAAAGCAUCGGCUAACUCCGUGCCAGCAGCCGCGGUAAUACGGAGGAUGCGAGCGUUAUCCGGAUUUAUUGGGUUUAAAGGGUGCGCAGGCGGGCCUUUAAGCCGGCGGUGAAAUCUCGGGGCUCAACCCCGCCGAGC